UACGUAGGUGGCAAGCGUUGUCCGGAAUUAUUGGGCGUAAAGGGUGCGUAGGCGGCUCUUUAAGUGGGAUGUGAAAUCCCUAGGCUCAACCUAGGAACUGCAUUCCAAACUGGAGAGCUAGAGUGCAGGAGAGGAAAGCGGAAUUCCCAGUGUAGCGGUGAAAUGCGUAGAGAUUGGGAGGAACACCAGUGGCGAAGGCGGCUUUCUGGACUGUAACUGACGCUGAGGCACGAAAGCGUGGGGAG
This 245-nucleotide ribosomal RNA is filed under the name uncultured Caloramator sp. Its description in RNAcentral is "partial 16S ribosomal RNA". It matches the Rfam family "Bacterial small subunit ribosomal RNA", at positions 524 to 768 of the family's 1533-position model. The record is from RNAcentral. Lineage: Bacteria; Bacillati; Bacillota; Clostridia; Eubacteriales; Clostridiaceae.